Molecule: ribosomal RNA, 497 nt
Filed under: uncultured bacterium
Lineage: Bacteria
Description: partial 16S ribosomal RNA
Rfam family: Bacterial small subunit ribosomal RNA
Source: RNAcentral
GAUGAACGCUGGCGGCGUGCCUAAUACAUGCAAGUCGAGCGAACGGACGAGAAGCUUGCUUCUCUGAUGUUAGCGGCGGACGGGUGAGUAACACGUGGAUAACCUACCUAUAAGACUGGGAUAACUUCGGGAAACCGGAGCUAAUACCGGAUAAUAUUUUGAACCGCAGGGUUCAAAAGUGAAAGACGGUCUUGCUGUCACUUAUAGAUGGAUCCGCGCUGCAUUAGCUAGUUGGUAAGGUAACGGCUUACCAAGGCAACGAUGCAUAGCCGACCUGAGAGGGUGAUCGGCCACACUGGAACUGAGACACGGUCCAGACUCCUACGGGAGGCAGCAGUAGGGAAUCUUCCGCAAAGGGCGAAAGCCUGACGGAGCAACGCCGCGUGAGUGAUGAAGGUCUUCGGAUCGUAAAACUCUGUUAUUAGGGAAGAACAUAUGUGUAAGUAACUGUGCACAUCUUGACGGUACCUAAUCAGAAAGCCACGGCUAAUUACGUG